Molecule: non-coding RNA, 23 nt
Filed under: Cricetulus griseus (Chinese hamster)
Lineage: Eukaryota; Metazoa; Chordata; Mammalia; Rodentia; Cricetidae
Source: RNAcentral
GUUGGAGGUCAGAGAAAAAGAUU